This 253-nucleotide ribosomal RNA is filed under the name uncultured bacterium. RNAcentral describes it as "partial 16S ribosomal RNA". It matches the Rfam family "Bacterial small subunit ribosomal RNA", at positions 524 to 776 of the family's 1533-position model. The record is from RNAcentral.
UACGGAGGGUACAAGCGUUAAUCGGAUUUACUGGGCGUAAAGGGCGCGUAGGCGGUAGUAUGGGUGUGAUGUGAAAGCCCUGGGCUUAACCUAGGAAGUGCAUCGCAAACUAUACAACUGGAGUAUAUGAGAGGGUGGCGGAAUUUCCGGUGUAGCGGUGAAAUGCGUAGAGAUCGGAAGGAGCGUCAAUGGCGAAGGCAGCCACCUGGCAUAAUACUGACGCUGAGGCGCGAAAGCGUGGGGAGCGAACAGG